RNAcentral lists this ribosomal RNA (495 nucleotides) under uncultured bacterium. RNAcentral's name for it is "partial 16S ribosomal RNA". It matches the Rfam family "Bacterial small subunit ribosomal RNA", at positions 28 to 505 of the family's 1533-position model. The record is from RNAcentral.
GAUGAACGCUGGCGGCGUGCCUAAUACAUGCAAGUCGAGCGAACAGACGAGGAGCUUGCUCCUCUGACGUUAGCGGCGGACGGGUGAGUAACACGUGGAUAACCUACCUAUAAGACUGGGAUAACUUCGGGAAACCGGAGCUAAUACCGGAUAAUAUAUUGAACCGCAUGGUUCAAUAGUGAAAGACGGUUUUACUGUCACUUAUAGAUGGAUCCGCGCCGCAUUAGCUAGUUGGUAAGGUAACGGCUUACCAAGGCAACGAUGCGUAGCCGACCUGAGAGGGUGAUCGGCCACACUGGAACUGAGACACGGUCCAGACUCCUACGGGAGGCAGCAGUAGGGAAUCUUCCGCAAUGGGCGAAAGCCUGACGGAGCAACGCCGCGUGAGUGAUGAAGGUCUUCGGAUCGUAAAACUCUGUUAUUAGGGAAGAACAAAUGUGUAAGUAACUAUGCACGUCUUGACGGUACCUAAUCAGAAAGCCACGGCUAACUACG